CAGUAGCCGCGUGAAUACAGAGGGUGCGAGCGUUAAUCGGAUUUACUGGGCGUAAAGCGUGCGUAGGCGGCUUCUUAAGUCGGAUGUGAAAUCCCUGAGCUUAACUUAGGAAUUGCAUUUGAUACUGGGAAGCUAGAGUAUGGGAGAGGAUGGUAGAAUUCCAGGUGUAGCGGUGAAAUGCGUAGAGAUCUGGAGGAAUACCGAUGGCGAAGGCAGCCAUCUGGCCUAAUACUGACGCUGAGGUACGAAAGCAUGGGGAGCAAACAGGAUUAGAUACCCCGGUAGUCCCUGUCUCUUAUAC
RNAcentral lists this ribosomal RNA (301 nucleotides) under uncultured bacterium. RNAcentral's name for it is "partial 16S ribosomal RNA". It matches the Rfam family "Bacterial small subunit ribosomal RNA", at positions 509 to 807 of the family's 1533-position model. The record is from RNAcentral.